GCGAGGAGUGCCUGCGCGCCGAGCACCGCCCCCUGCGUGACGUCAGCGUCAGGCCACGCCCCCACGGGGCGCCCGUCGGGAUCCAUUGGGAGCCAUAGGGACCCAUAGAGACCCAUAGGGACUCCAUAGCGACCCCAUAGAGACCAAUAGAGACCCAUAGGGACACACAGAGAGACCCAUAGAGACCCACAAAUACCCCAUAGAGACCCAUAGAGAUACAUAGACACCCCAUAGGGACCCCAUAGGGACCCACAGAGACCCCAUAGAGACCCAUAGAGAUACAUAGACACCCCAUAGAGACCCCAUAGAUACCCAUGGUGACCCCAGAGAGACCCAUAGAGCCCCAUAGAGACCCAUAGGGACCCAUAGAGACAUAUAGAGACCCCAUAGGGACCCAUAGCGACCCCAAAGAGACCCAUGGUGACCCCAGAGAGACCCAUAGAGACCCAUGGUGACCCCAAAGAGACCCAUAGGGACCCAUAGAGCCCAAUAUUGAUCCAUAGAAACCCACAGAGACCCAUAGAGACCCAUAGAGACCCAUAGGGACCCAUAGAGCCCAAUAGUGACCCAUAGAAACACACAGGGACCCAUAGGGACUCAUAGAGACCCAUAGAGAGACCCCAUAAAGACCCACAAAGACCCCAUAGAGACCCAGAGGGUCCCAUUGAGAGACCCAUAGGGAACCAUAGAGCACAACAGUGACCCAUAGAAAACCACAGGGACCCAUAGGAACACAUAGAGCCCAAUAGUGACCCAUAGAGACCCACAGAGACCCAUAGGGACCCAUAGAGACCCAUAGAGACACAUAGAGAGACCCAUAGAGAUCCACAGAGACCCACAGAGACCCCAGAGAGACCCAUAGAGACACAUAGGGACACAUAGAGAGACCCAUAGGGACCCAUAGAGACCCACAAAUACCCAUAAACACCCAUAGAGACCCACAGAGACCCCAUAGAGACACAUAGGGACACAGAGAGAGACCCAUAGAGACCCACAGAGACCCAUGGAGCCCAAUAGUGACCCAUAGAAACACACAGGGACCCAUAGGGACACAUAGAAACCCAUGGAAACCCAGAGAGACCCACAGAGACCCCAUAGAGACCCACAGAGACCCCACAGAGACCCAUAGAGACACAUAGGGACACAUAGAGAGACCCAUAGAGACCCACAGAGACCCCAUAGAGACACAUAGAGACCCAUAGAAACCCAUAGAGACCCAGAGAGACCCACAAAUACCCGUAAACACCCAUAGGUGCCCACAGAGACCCACAGACAACCCAUAGAGACCCAAAGAGACCCCAUAGCGACCCAUAGAGCCCAAUAGUGACCCACAGGGACCCAUAGAGACCCAUAGAGACCCACAUAGACCCCAUAGUGACCCAUAGAGCCCAAUAGUGACCCACAGGGACCCAUAGAGACCCACAGGGACCCAUAGAGACCCACAGACCCC
RNAcentral lists this long non-coding RNA (1450 nucleotides) under Gallus gallus (chicken). RNAcentral describes it as "lncRNA (ENSGALG00010000666.1)". The record is from RNAcentral. Lineage: Eukaryota; Metazoa; Chordata; Aves; Galliformes; Phasianidae.